This 31-nucleotide small RNA is filed under the name Bombyx mori (domestic silkworm). Its description in RNAcentral is "ovarian small RNA-7770". Lineage: Eukaryota; Metazoa; Arthropoda; Insecta; Lepidoptera; Bombycidae. The record is from RNAcentral.
UCUGAAACGUAGGCCGUCUCGGUACGGCAGC